Octodon degus (degu) is the source of this 1105-nucleotide long non-coding RNA. RefSeq lists it as uncharacterized. The transcript has 3 exons. NCBI's taxonomy places the organism in Eukaryota, Metazoa, Chordata, Mammalia, Rodentia, Octodontidae. The record is from RefSeq and is a predicted model, not a curated record.
AGGCAAAGGAGGGCCAUGGACGCCGGCCACUGGCUGCCUUCGUGAUGCUCCGCAGAUCCACGCAAGCCCCGCGCCACGCAGGCCGUGGGUCACACCGGUAUACCGGGUCACACCCGCGCCUGGCUUAAGAAUCAGUAGCUCCCCAGUUGGCACAACAAAAAACGAAUAUGGAGCCCCUACAAUGAAUGAUGAAACAUCGCAGAAGCUGAGCUUUCUGUCUGUCCAUUCUCCUGGAAAAAUAAUGCCAGUCAAUUACUUUUAAUGCGCUGCUUCUACAGGGGUGGGCUGGGAAGACAUCAAUCUGCUCCCGACUCUAGGGAACAUUUCCACACAACCACGUGCGUUCUGAUGGCUCUGUGCUCACCGAUGCAGAGGCCUCAAGCAGAACUUCGGGCCCUCAACCUGGUCUCCUGCCCGCUUGCUGCUGCCACCUGGGAUACCACCACCAUUCUCAUCUCCAUACGGGAUGGAAACUGGGGCUUCCCUGGACUCUGCGCUUCUCUGGCACCCGACUCCCCAAGUGUCCACCCUACCCCCCAUGUCUUCAUCCAGUCAGCGAUCACGCAGCGCUCCCAGAGUCCUCCCACUCUCUCCACCACCGCUCUGCUCAGCUGCUUCUCACCUUAUCCUCAGGUUUGCUAGCGCUCUCUAGGCCGUCUGCCUGAGUUCAGCUGGCCCCUCCAGACCACUCUACCUGUGGAGUCUAACAGGGUCCUCCUGUUUCAAUCAGUUUGCUCUCUGGCUUGAAAUCUCUGUAUCUGUCAAACCUCUCAAGUUGAUAUUCAAGGUUCAUAACCAGAGCCAAUACUUCUCUGCUGCCUAACUCAAUUCUUUGCAGGCAGACUGGCCUACCAAAUCCUGCUACCAUGCCUUUGUCUGGACUGGGUUCCCUGUGCUUCCUCUACUUGACAGUUGGCAGCCACUGCGAGCACCAGAUAAGGUCUGCUCUGAUCCCUACAGCUUUCCCUAACCUUCAAAGCUCGUGAUUCCAGGUAAUGGAGAAGAACAGCCCCUCAGGUCUGCAUCCUCUCCCAUCCCUCACCUACAGACAGCUCCUUUAAGGCUCUCCCUCUUCCCUCUCUAUCACUUCAUGUUUUGUUAAAAA